This 485-nucleotide ribosomal RNA is filed under the name uncultured bacterium. Its description in RNAcentral is "bacterial SSU rRNA". It matches the Rfam family "Bacterial small subunit ribosomal RNA", at positions 28 to 507 of the family's 1533-position model. The record is from RNAcentral.
GAUGAACGCUAGCUACAGGCUUAACACAUGCAAGUCGAGGGGCAUCAGGAUGUAGCAAUACAUUGCUGGCGACCGGCGCACGGGUGAGUAACACGUAUCCAACCUGCCUUUUACUCGGGGAUAGGCUUUCGAAAGAAAGAUUAAUACCCGAUGGUAUAAUAUUUCCGCAUGGGAUUAUUAUUAAAGAAUUUCGGUAAAAGAUGGGGAUGCGUUCCAUUAGGCAGUUGGCGGGGUAACGGCCCACCAAACCUUCGAUGGAUAGGGGUUCUGAGAGGAAGGUCCCCCACAUUGGAACUGAGACACGGUCCAAACUCCUACGGGAGGCAGCAGUGAGGAAUAUUGGUCAAUGGGCGAAAGCCUGAACCAGCCAAGUAGCGUGAAGGAUGACUGCCCUAUGGGUUGUAAACUUCUUUUAUAGGGGAAUAAAAUGAGCCACGUGUGGCUUUUUGUAUGUACCCUAUGAAUAAGGAUCGGCUAACUCCGUG